RNAcentral lists this ribosomal RNA (86 nucleotides) under Mucilaginibacter pankratovii. The record is from RNAcentral. Lineage: Bacteria; Pseudomonadati; Bacteroidota; Sphingobacteriia; Sphingobacteriales; Sphingobacteriaceae.
CCUCUUCCCAUUCCGAACAGAGAAGUUAAGCCCGCCAGAGCCGAUGGUACUGCAGUAAAAUGUGGGAGAGUAGGUCGGUGCCAAAU